CCACCUUUAGAAAACUUUAAUACAGGGUGAGGACAGAAAAAUAGGUCAUCUAUUCACAGAACUGAAAUGCUUCAUUACUCCAAGCUAAAAAUAGAAACUGCGUAUAAAACUUGCCAACAUUUGUCUCAAAGUUGUUCUAUCAAAUUCAUUUGGUUUCCCUCAGAUCGGUUUUUUAAAAAAAAAAACUUGCCAUCUACCAUUCCUCCGGGCUUGGAAGUCUGCCCUCAAAAGCUUCAGACAAGAUGAGAAAACAAGCCUGAAAAAGAAAAACCUACGACACCCGGAAAUCGGCCUACAUCCCCGUAGUAAAUCCCUUGACGCUUAAGUACGCAACUCCCCCGUUACCGUUAGGAAAAUAAGGAAAGGUUACCACGCUCAAGUUACCAAAAACAACCCAGCACGGUGUUUAUUUUACAGAUUGUGUUCUCUCUGCUUUGGCUUCAUUCUUAAGACAUUUAAAACUGGAGCCGAGAACGAAGCGAAGCCCUUCCGCAGAGCCGCGGCCUUCUCCUGCAGUUCCAGCAGUUUCCUUUCUGGAACAUCCUCUGCCCUCCCCCCGUAAAGGAAGCUGACCUAACCCCGGGACGCCAGGACCUGCCGCUGCGCCUCAAGGACUUGAGAGACACCCGGGGCCCGGGCGAGGCCUGAGGGUUUGGAAACGAAAAUGGCGCCGGGUGGGGGUCCCGGCCCCGGUUUCCACGCGGCUAAAGCGGCGGCGCAGAGAAGCAGCGGGCGAGGCCGGGCGGGGCGCGGAGACGACAGGGAGGGGCGGCCGGGACACCGGGACAAAGGCUGGGGGAGGGGUGCGGCCCGAGCCCUCACCCACCCCGCCCCGCGCAGGGAUCCGCGGGCCGUGAGCCGCCUGCCUGCCUUUGUGAGGCGUCGGCUCGCGGGCGGGCGCUGCCGGUUCUAACCGGCUCCAGCCGGUCCCAGCCGCCUCCGGGAGCGGUGGCGGUUGGCGCAGCGCGCCAGUGCGCAUGCGCGCCCCGCCCCCGGGGCCUGAGCGGGUCCAGGGAAGUGUGUGGGCGCGGGGCGCGGGGC
RNAcentral lists this long non-coding RNA (1041 nucleotides) under Equus asinus (donkey). RNAcentral describes it as "lncRNA (ENSEASG00005028076.1)". Lineage: Eukaryota; Metazoa; Chordata; Mammalia; Perissodactyla; Equidae. The record is from RNAcentral.